This 253-nucleotide ribosomal RNA is filed under the name uncultured bacterium. RNAcentral's name for it is "partial 16S ribosomal RNA". It matches the Rfam family "Bacterial small subunit ribosomal RNA", at positions 524 to 776 of the family's 1533-position model. The record is from RNAcentral.
UACGUAGGGGGCAAGCGUUGUCCGGAUUUAUUGGGCGUAAAGAGCGUGUAGGCGGCCAGACAAGUCUGCUGUGAAAACUCGAGGCUCAACCUCGAGCUGUCGGUGGAAACUGUCUGGCUAGAGUCCGGAAGAGGAGAGUGGGAUUCCUGGUGUAGCGGUGAAAUGCGCAGAUAUCAGGAAGAACACCUAUGGCGAAGGCGGCUCUCUGGAACGCAACUGACGCUGAGACGCGAAAGCGUGGGGAGCAAACAGG